Onychostoma macrolepis is the source of this 690-nucleotide long non-coding RNA. RefSeq lists it as uncharacterized. NCBI's taxonomy places the organism in Eukaryota, Metazoa, Chordata, Actinopteri, Cypriniformes, Cyprinidae. The record is from RefSeq and is a predicted model, not a curated record. The transcript has 3 exons.
GCAAAUUUAAGGACUUGUGACUUGCUUGACUAAAUAAAGAAAAUGACUUGACUUGACUUGGACUUGAGAUCCAGUGACUUGAGACUUGACUUGACUUGACCUUCAUGACUCGGCAGGACUUGACUUUAUAACAACUAAUUAUUAUUAUAAAUCAUUGCGAGUGCGAUAUAAUUUGGUAAACAAAACGCAAGCCCCUGAACCAGUGGCAGAAUUGAUCCGAGUCUGCGCAGUUCAUGACACUGCACGAGCGCAGGAACACAGCGCGCCAAAUAGAGGGAGCAAGAGAAUCUCGCGAUGUUUGGAUUAACACUCUUCCAAACUAUAUGCAUUUGCAAAGCCAGGACGUCACCACUUCAUAAAGGCAAUAAGCAGUACACACAGAUGGAGGAGAGGAGAGAGAAGAGGAGAACACACACCGGACACACACUGAACAGCAGCGUCCAGCAGAGCACACAGUCUGAUGCAGGAGGUGUGGAGGAGGUGUUGAACCUCUCAGCACCAGGACGCACUGACUCUAAAUCAAACAGAAGUCAUUUUAAACACUGCCACACUUUUCUGAACAACACACCUGCCAAAGCAAAUACAAGUUCAAAUACAAGAAAAAUGACUAUCAAAUUAAUACCAUGGCAUUAAACAUAGCAUUAAAAAAAAACUAAUAUGGACUUACACAUAAGUGUGAUGACUGUAACU